GAUGAACGCCGGCGGCGUGCCUAAUACAUGCAAGUCGAGCGAACAGAUGAGGAGCUUGCUCCUCUGACGUUAGCGGCGGACGGGUGAGUAACACGUGGAUAACCUACCUAUAAGACUGGGAUAACUUCGGGAAACCGGAGCUAAUACCGGAUAAUAUAUUGAACCGCAUGGUUCAAUAGUGAAAGACGGUUUUGCUGUCACUUAUAGAUGGAUCCGCGCCGCAUUAGCUAGUUGGUAAGGUAACGGCUUACCAAGGCAACGAUGCGUAGCCGACCUGAGAGGGUGAUCGGCCACACUGGAACUGAGACACGGUCCAGACUCCUACGGGAGGCAGCAGUAGGGAAACUUCCGCAAUGGGCGAAAGCCUGACGGAGCAACGCCGCGUGAGUGAUGAAGGUCUUCGGAUCGUAAAACUCUGUUAUUAGGGAAGAACAAAUGUGUAAGUAACUAUGCACGUCUUGACGGUACCUAAUCAGAAAGCCACGGCUAACUACGUG
RNAcentral lists this ribosomal RNA (497 nucleotides) under uncultured bacterium. RNAcentral's name for it is "partial 16S ribosomal RNA". It matches the Rfam family "Bacterial small subunit ribosomal RNA", at positions 28 to 507 of the family's 1533-position model. The record is from RNAcentral.